UGAGAGGAUGCCUCUCUUUUGCAGGAACACCCUGGUCACAUUCACACCGUUACGCAUUCACACAUGGAAGCUGCCCAGUACAAGCACAAUCCGAUCUGUUGGCCACUGAGCAGCUUCACUGGAGCUUGCAGUUCUUCUUGAUC
Etheostoma cragini (Arkansas darter) is the source of this 143-nucleotide long non-coding RNA. RefSeq lists it as uncharacterized. The transcript has 3 exons. The record is from RefSeq and is a predicted model, not a curated record. NCBI's taxonomy places the organism in Eukaryota, Metazoa, Chordata, Actinopteri, Perciformes, Percidae.